This 1508-nucleotide ribosomal RNA is filed under the name Saccharum spontaneum (wild sugarcane). RNAcentral's name for it is "bacterial SSU rRNA". It matches the Rfam family "Bacterial small subunit ribosomal RNA". Lineage: Eukaryota; Viridiplantae; Streptophyta; Magnoliopsida; Poales; Poaceae. The record is from RNAcentral.
UCCCUGGUCAGGAGAACGCUGGCGGCAUGAUUAACAAUGCAAGUCGAACGGGAAAGUGGUGUUCCAGUGGCGAAACGGUGAGUCGUAACGCGCGUGAAGAGAACCUGCACCUUGGAGGGGAACAACAAAUGAAACGGUUGCUAAACGCCCCGUAGGCUGAGGAGCACAAGGAGAAAUCCGCCCAAGGAGGGCUCGCGUCUGAUAGGCUGUACGUUGUGAGGCAUAGCUUACCAGGCGAUGAUCAGUAGACUGCGUCAGAGAGGAUGAUCAGCACACUGGGACUGAGACACGGGCCCAGAAUCCUACGGGAGACGGACAGCAUGGGGGAAUUUUUCCGCAAUGGGCGACGAAGCCUGACGAGCAAUGCCGCGUGGAGGUGGAAGGACUACGGAGUCGUAACUUCUUUUCUCGGAGAAGAAACAAUGACGGUAUCUGAGGAAUAAGCAAUCGGCUAAAACUCUGGCCAGCAGCCGCGGUAGGACAGAUGGUGCAAGCGUUAUCCGGAUGACUUGGCGUAAAGCGUCUGUAGGUGGCUUUUCAAGUCGCCGUCAAAUCCCAGGGCUUCAACCUGGACAGGGCGGUGCAACUACCAAGUGGAGUACGGUAGGGGCAGAGGGAUAUUUCCGUGGAGCGGUUGAGAAAUGCAUUGAGAUCGGAAAGAACACCACGCGAAAGCACUCUGCUGGGCCGACACUGACACUGAGAGACGAAAGAUAGGGGAAUAUAGGGAGCACAUGGGAUAGAGACCCCAGUAGGCCUCAGCCGCGUAAACGAUGGAACUAGGUGCGCUGUGCGACUCGACCCGUGCAGUGCUGUUGUAAGCUAACGCGUUAAGUAUCCCGCAUGGGAGUUACGUUAGCAAGAAUGAAACUCAAAGGAAUUGAACGGGGGGCCCGCACAAGCGAGUGGAGCAUGUGUUUAAUUCGAUGAAAAGCGAAAGAACCUUACCAGGGCUUGACAUGCCGCAGCGAAUCCUCUUGGGAGAGAGGUGACCCUCGGGUAACGCGGACAAAGGUGCGUGCAUGGCUGUCGUCAGCUCGUGCCCGUAAGGGUGUUGGGUUAAGUCUCGCAACGAGGCGCAACCCUCGUGUUUAGUGCCACUAUGCGUUCUGGAAACCUGAACAGACGCCGGUGUUAACCGGAGGAGGAGAGGAUGAGGCCAAGUCAUCAUGCCCUUAUGCCCUGGCGACACAGUGCUACAAUGGGCGGGACAAAGGGUUCGCGAUCUCGCGAGGCGUGAGCUAACUCCAAAAAACCCGUCCUCCAGAUUCGGAUUGCAGGCUGCAACUCGCCUGCAUGAAGCAAGGAAAAUCGCUAGUAUCGCCGGUCAGGCCAUACGGCGGUGAAUCCGUUCCCCGGGCCUUGUACACACCGCCCGUCAACUAUAGAGCUGGCCAGGUUGAAGUCAAUUACCCUGAACCGUAAGGAAGGGGAGGGGAUGCCUAAGGUAGGCUGCGAAUGGAGUGAAGUCGUAAUAACAAGGUAAGCCGUACUGGAAGGUGCGGCGG